This 274-nucleotide unclassified non-coding RNA is filed under the name Hevea brasiliensis (rubber tree). Lineage: Eukaryota; Viridiplantae; Streptophyta; Magnoliopsida; Malpighiales; Euphorbiaceae. The record is from RNAcentral.
GCAAGCUCUUUUGACAGCAAACAAGAGAGUCAAUAUGGAGGGUGAUACUAUUGGGGCUUUCUGUUUUAUACAGAUAGCCAGUCCCGAAUUGCAGCAAGCUCUAAGAGUUCAAAGGCAACAGGAAAAGAAGUGUUAUUCUCAGAUGAAAGAGCUGGCAUACAUUUGUCAGGAAGUAAAAAGUCCUCUUAAUGGUAUACGCUUUACAAAUUCAUUGUUGGAGGCCACAAAUUUGACAGAAUAUCAGAAGCAGUAUCUAGAGACAAGUGCUGCUUGU